This is a long non-coding RNA of Gossypium raimondii (Peruvian cotton), 729 nucleotides long. RefSeq lists it as uncharacterized. The record is from RefSeq and is a predicted model, not a curated record. NCBI's taxonomy places the organism in Eukaryota, Viridiplantae, Streptophyta, Magnoliopsida, Malvales, Malvaceae. The transcript has 5 exons.
AGGAAAGCUCAGUUUUGCUUCCGUUUUGUUUCUCCCAAUUUCUUCUGCCCUAUUUUACCCUCCCAACCCGAAAGCCACCUCCACCCUCUCCCUCGCAACAUCAAUCAGAACCACCCCUUACAUUUUCCUUCUUUUGUUCCUGAAGGUAACUACGAUCAAAACUAGAGGAUCGGCCACACCAAAAAUUCCAGGAAAAUCGAAGAGGCCUCAUUGUUUUCCAGCAGGAACUAGAGCUCUGACAAGGUUUUUGAUCUCAAAAUUCUGACAAGGUUGCCUGUAAGUGGGGGUGUUUCUUUAACUUCAAACCUUGCAAAUUGAGUCUCUUGUUUUAACUUUCUUGUUUGGUUCUUGAUUAGGUCUCAAGAUUUCCUUGAUCUCCAUCCUUUCUGGGUAAGAGCUAUUAGCUACCGAUUUGCUCCAGACAUAAAUCGUUGGCAAGCUGAAGCUCUAGUUGCAAUUCAAGAGUGUGUUAUUGCUUCCUAUUGAAGCGGCUUGUUUGAUUGCUUCCUCCACCCACAGUUGAGCGUCUUCUUUUCACACAACCACUAUAAUUAUGUCAGGUGUUUCAGAAUCAAAUGUUUCUUCCCAAGUUUCUCGAGGAACCAAAAAGAAAUGGGUUCCAGAAGAAGAUGCAGCAUUGGUUUCCUGCAGGUGGACUUGCACAAUGUUGGAACUUUUAAUGCUGAUGCUGGGUUCAAAGCUGGUUAUUUAAACGAGUUAGAAAAAAUG